RNAcentral lists this long non-coding RNA (209 nucleotides) under Rattus norvegicus (Norway rat). RNAcentral describes it as "long non-coding RNA NONRATT023317". Lineage: Eukaryota; Metazoa; Chordata; Mammalia; Rodentia; Muridae. The record is from RNAcentral.
GAUCAAUGCCACCUCACCAUGGGUGAGAGACCUCUGUGGACAGAGGACGACAGAUGCCUGUGAACAGCUUUGUGACCCAGAAACUGGGGAGUGCAGUUGUCACGAAGGUUACGCCCCUGACCCAGUCCACAGACAUCUAUGUAUCCGAAGUGACUGGGGUCAAAGUGAAGGACCUUGGCCUUACACAACACUGGAGAGGGGUUAUGAUC